UGGGGAAUCUUGGACAAUGGGCGCAGGCCUGAUCCAGCCAUGCCGCGUGGAUGAUGAAGGCCUUAGGGUUGUAAAAUCCUUUCGCCGAGGACGAUAAUGACGGUACUCGGAGAAGAAGCUCCGGCUAACUUCGUGCCAGCAGCCGCGGUAAUACGAAGGGGGCUAGCGUUGUUCGGAUUUACUGGGCGUAAAGCGCGUGUAGGCGGGUCGUUAAGUUGGGGGUGAAAUCCCGAGGCUCAACCUCGGAACUGCCUUCAAAACUGGCGACCUGGACCUAAGUAGAGGCAAGUGGAAUUGCGAGUGUAGAGGUGAAAUUCGUAGAUAUUCGCAGGAACACCAGUGGCGAAGGCGACUUGCUGGACUUAUGGUGACGCUGAGACGCGAAAGCGUGGGGAGCAAACAGGAUUAGAUACCCUCGUAGUCCCUGAGCGGGCUGGCAAGGCGCAU
This 447-nucleotide ribosomal RNA is filed under the name uncultured bacterium. RNAcentral's name for it is "bacterial SSU rRNA". It matches the Rfam family "Bacterial small subunit ribosomal RNA", at positions 355 to 825 of the family's 1533-position model. The record is from RNAcentral.